Cherax quadricarinatus is the source of this 537-nucleotide non-coding RNA. NCBI's taxonomy places the organism in Eukaryota, Metazoa, Arthropoda, Malacostraca, Decapoda, Parastacidae. The record is from RefSeq and is a predicted model, not a curated record.
GUUGAACUUCAGUGGUCGUACAGGAGAGACGUGUUGAUCCUCCUGCCGCCCCGCCGGCUUUACCGCUUCCUCAUCCUUUUAAUACACUUAAAUAACGUGUGGUAACUGAGGAGUGCUGUGCCUGGCUGUGUCUGCUGCAACAUUGAUCAACACAGCAACAUUGACCAGUCUGAGGGGUGGAGACAACCACACUAGUAAAUGAUCUGACCCAUAACAGUUAGUGUUAUAUGGAGAUGCAGCACUUGGAGACGUCGUUAGAGGUUGAAGAUAUUCCUCGUGGUGAAGGCCGCGUUGUGGGCAGCUGCAAGUCUUCAGAUAUACCAUCACCAGCAGCAACACCCCAAAACAAUGUCUGCAAAGAUAAAAGUGUGGACAUUACUAGAUUAUUCGUGUACUGCAGCAAGUUGAUGGAACUGGAAGAUCUGGAGGUGUUGAUGGUGUGGUGGAUGGCAGAGGAGUGACUAGUGGCGCCACUAUUCUUGACCUCCAUGGCUAAAUGGCGCCACUGACCUGGAGGAGGGGGUGUUAAUGACGUCA